Molecule: ribosomal RNA, 507 nt
Filed under: Triatoma infestans
Lineage: Eukaryota; Metazoa; Arthropoda; Insecta; Hemiptera; Reduviidae
Description: partial 16S ribosomal RNA
Rfam family: Bacterial large subunit ribosomal RNA
Source: RNAcentral
GUCCUUUUGUUUAUUUAUUUAAGGUCUGACCUGCCCAAUGAGGAAUUGAAUGGCCGCAGUAUUUUAACUGUGCUAAGGUAGCAUAAUCAUUUGUCUUUUAAUUGAGGGCUGGAAUGAAGGGUUGGACGAGGUAUUAACUUUCUUUGAUUUAAUGAGGAGAAUUUAAUUUUUGAGUUAAAAAGCUUAAAUUUAUUUGUGGGACGAGAAGACCCUAUAGAUCUUUAUAGUUUUAUAUUUUAAUAAUUUGGUGAUUUAUUUGUUUUAAGUAGAUGAACUAUUUUGUUGGGGUGACUGUAGAAUUUGAAUAACUUCUAUUAUUUUAUUUCAUUAAUUAAUGUUUUUGUGAUCCAUAUUUUAUGAUUAUAAGAUUAAGUUACCUUAGGGAUAACAGCGUAAUUUCCUCGGAGAGUUCAUAUUGAUGGGGGAGUUUGCGACCUCGAUGUUGGAUUAAAAUAAGUUAUGGAUGCAGGAGUCUAUUUACUAGGUCUGUUCGACCUUUAAAUUUUU